Molecule: ribosomal RNA, 96 nt
Filed under: Lentilactobacillus kefiri
Lineage: Bacteria; Bacillati; Bacillota; Bacilli; Lactobacillales; Lactobacillaceae
Source: RNAcentral
UGUGGUGGCGAUAGCCAGAAGGAUACACCUGUUCCCAUGCCGAACACAGAAGUUAAGCUUCUGCACGCCGAGAGUAGUUGGGGGAUCGCCCCCUGC